RNAcentral lists this ribosomal RNA (465 nucleotides) under Vreelandella stevensii. RNAcentral's name for it is "partial 16S ribosomal RNA". It matches the Rfam family "Bacterial small subunit ribosomal RNA", at positions 338 to 795 of the family's 1533-position model. The record is from RNAcentral. Lineage: Bacteria; Pseudomonadati; Pseudomonadota; Gammaproteobacteria; Oceanospirillales; Halomonadaceae.
CCUACGGGGGGCUGCAGUGGGGAAUAUUGGACAAUGGGGGCAACCCUGAUCCAGCCAUGCCGCGUGUGUGAAGAAGGCCCUCGGGUUGUAAAGCACUUUCAGUGAGGAAGAACGCCUGGUGGUUAAUACCCAUCAGGAAAGACAUCACUCACAGAAGAAGCACCGGCUAACUCCGUGCCAGCAGCCGCGGUAAUACGGAGGGUGCGAGCGUUAAUCGGAAUUACUGGGCGUAAAGCGCGCGUAGGUGGCUUGAUAAGCCGGUUGUGAAAGCCCCGGGCUCAACCUGGGAAUGGCAUCCGGAACUGUCAAGCUAGAGUGCAGGAGAGGAAGGUAGAAUUCCCGGUGUAGCGGUGAAAUGCGUAGAGAUCGGGAGGAAUACCAGUGGCGAAGGCGGCCUUCUGGACUGACACUGACACUGAGGUGCGAAAGCGUGGGUAGCAAACAGGAUUAGAUACCCGAGUAGUC